Molecule: long non-coding RNA, 809 nt
Filed under: Ananas comosus (pineapple)
Lineage: Eukaryota; Viridiplantae; Streptophyta; Magnoliopsida; Poales; Bromeliaceae
Description: long non-coding RNA (ACOM_LNC029472)
Source: RNAcentral
UUGCUGCGACAUGGGUUGGAGUAUAAAUAAAGACGAUGAACCAUUCGCCGCAUGUACAAAAGCAGUGAAUGGUUCACCGCCUUACAAAAAUUAUAACAGUCCCGUAAAAACGAUGAACCAUUCACCGCAUUUAUCAAAGCGGUGAAUGGUUCACCAUAUUUCUUCUCUUUUUUUUUUGAGAGAGAUAGGUAGCACGCUACCCGCUUCAUUUAUUUCAUUUAGAAAUAAACUUAGCUGUAAAUGUGAAUCAACUAGGAUUCAAACUUGGGUCUCGGGUACCAACCACCAAGCCCUUUGCUACUUGCUCUAGGGACGGUAUUUCAGUACUUAUUUCAGUACUUAUCAUUUUUGCCCACUGAGAAAGUUGUGAAGAUGGGAAAUAAUUAAAAGCGGUAAAUUAUUCAUCAUUUUUAAGGCUAUAAAUCAUUCACUGUCUAUAAAAACAGUGAAUGGUUCACCGCUUUUAGUCGUUUCCUCCAAACAGCCUGCAAUGAGUUUUCAAACUUUCCUAUAUUUACAUAAUAGCAACUUUUUUGAGCAUUUAAAUCACAAUAAAAAAUACAUAGAUUGAACUAAACGAACAUCAACUACACUUUAACAUGAAUAAAAUAAUAUAAAAAUAUAAAAAUUAUAUGUACACAAGAUCAGAAAUAUCAAAUAUAUAUCAAAAUCCAAAAAGUCCUAACAAAAUCAACUCCUGUCCAUGCUUUUUCCAUACCCUCGCCCUCCUCCCCUACCAUAUCCACGUCCACAUCCAUAUUCACAUUGUCGAUCCCAUCCUUGAAUAUCCACAUCAUCCUCCUACUCAG